This 501-nucleotide ribosomal RNA is filed under the name uncultured Glomus. RNAcentral describes it as "SSU rRNA". It matches the Rfam family "Eukaryotic small subunit ribosomal RNA", at positions 569 to 1077 of the family's 1831-position model. Lineage: Eukaryota; Fungi; Glomeromycota; Glomeromycetes; Glomerales; Glomeraceae. The record is from RNAcentral.
AGCAGCCGCGGUAAUUCCAGCUCCAAUAGCGUAUAUUAAAGUUGUUGCAGUUAAAAGCUCGUAGUUGAAUUUCGGGAUCAGUACGCUGGUCAUGCCUUUGGUAUGCACUGGUGUCACUGGUUUCUCCCUUCUGAAGAACCGUGAUGUCAUUAAUUUGGUGUCGCGGGGAAUCAGGACUGUUACUUUGAAAAAAUUGAGUGUUUAAAGCAGGCUCACGCUUGAAUACAUUAGCAUGGAAUAAUGAAAUAGGACGUUUGACCCUAUUUUGUUGGUUUCUAGGAUCGACGUAAUGAUUAAUAGGGACAGUUGGGGGCAUUGUAUUCAAUUGUCAGAGGUGAAAUUCUUGGAUUUAUUGAAGACUAACUACUGCGAAAGCAUUUGCCAAGGAUGUUUUCAUUAAUCAAGACGAAGUUAGGGAUCGAAGACGAUCAGAUACCGUCGUAGUCUUAACCAUAACCUAUGCCGACUGGGAUCGGGAUGAUGUUUAAUUUAGUAUGACUC